RNAcentral lists this unclassified non-coding RNA (1741 nucleotides) under Pocillopora damicornis (cauliflower coral). Its description in RNAcentral is "pHD finger protein 10-like, transcript variant X2". The record is from RNAcentral. Lineage: Eukaryota; Metazoa; Cnidaria; Anthozoa; Scleractinia; Pocilloporidae.
CUGGUUUGGACCUCAGCUUCCAGGCCUGCAUAUGGCGGCGAUAGCGGCUUUGUCAAUGCUCUAGUGUAGCACGCUUUUGGUGUAAUUUUUGCUCGAAGAAUGCCACGGAAGAGGAAGUCAGCUGUAUUGAAAGAACCAAAAGUUUUUACAGAGACUGAAAUACAGGAGGAGCAACAGAAAGAGAACUCGGUAAAUGAACAAGGGAAUGAAAAACUCUCCACUGAAACAACAAAUAAACAAGUUCCUGAUCCCUCUUCCCCUGAAAUUGUUGAGGAGGCCUUUACUGCAGAAAGAUUAUUUGAGUAUCAAUGGCCUCCUGACAGAUCAGGAGAGUAUUAUCUUCUGCGGCAUCAAGUGUGUCAGUUUCUAGAAACAGAAGAUCUUGAAGAAAGAAAUCCAGAUUUAGAGAGGCAUGUUGUAGUGGAUGAUGAAAAACUGUAUCUUAAAGAGCAGGGAGUCAUCACUGAUGAAACACAAGAAUUAACAGCUUAUAAGACUGAGGAUGUUUGUCAAAUAAUGAUAGAUAGUUUUCCCAAAAAAUAUAAGGAAUAUAUCAGGGUGGCUCAUGUUAAGGAACGUCAAAGGAUAAUUCGAAAAGCAGAAGAAGAAAAGAGAUCUUUGGAAACUAGAAAAGUAGCAAACUACAUCAAACGGGCCAUCAAAGAUGUGGCAGAGUUCAAUGCUCAGUUGGCUCAGCAGAGGAGAGAAGAGAGAUGUUCAUACUUUGACAUGCAGACUCAAAUAAUCCAUGUUCCAGCCAACAAGACAACACGAUUAACAAAGCCUUGCACCAAACCAAGUUUAUACCCAGUUGCUCUUCUUCCAGGACAAUUCCAGGAAUACUAUAAAAGGUACACUUCAGAAGAGCUAAACAACUUUCCACUUGGUACUGUUAUGGAAAUGCCAAAGCCCCCACUGCCUCCAGAACCAUAUGUACCUCCGCAGCAAGCAGACUCUGAAGAAUCAGAUGAUAUAUCCUUGCCAGAUUCAACAGCUGAAGAAGGUAGUGAUAGCAGUUCUGAAGAGGAAAUAGAAGAACCACCGGCAAAGAAAAUACCAGGAAAAUACAAACCCCCAAAACGUCCCGAUGCACUGUGUGGCAUUUGCUUGAAAGGCCCAGAUUCAAACAAGAAAGGACUGCCAGAGGAACUUAUACACUGCUCACAGUGUGAGAAUAGUGGACAUCCCACAUGUCUGGACAUGAACACCCAGUUGGUUGUAGUUAUCCAGACAUAUCCAUGGCAAUGCAUGGAAUGUAAAACUUGCAUCGUCUGCCGCGACCCGUUUGAUGAGGAUAAGAUGUUAUUCUGUGACGAAUGUGACCGUGGAUACCACAGUUUCUGUGUGGGACUCAAACAGAUACCAGUAGGUCGGUGGACAUGUGAUAAGUGUGGUAUGUGUGCAUCCUGCUUGAGAAGAUCCCCAGUACACCAAACCACGAGACGGAUCAGAAGUGCAGUUCUUACAAACCUUGUGUUCUGCCUGUUCCAGGUUGUUCCGCGCAGGAAACUUCUGCCCGGUUUGCUUAAAAGUUUACCGCAAUGACGAGUCUGAUUUGCCCAUGGUGUGUUGUGACAUGUGUGACCGCUGGAUUCACACAGAUUGUGAUGGUAUCGACGAAAAGGCUUAUGCACAACUCGCCCGGACGAAAAGCAAAUACAGCUGUGUCCUGUGCCGUGGAGAGAAGCAAGAAAGAAUGGAUUCUUUUCACAGAAAGAACAGGAGCAAAGCUUCAUGAAAC